UACGUAGGGCGCAAGCGUUGUCCGGAAUUAUUGGGCGUAAAGAGCUCGUAGGCGGCCAGUUGCGUCUGCUGUGAAAUCCCGGGGCUCAACCCCGGGCGUGCAGUGGAUACGGGCUGGCUAGAGGCAGGCAGGGGAGAACGGAAUUCCCGGUGUAGCGGUGAAAUUCGUAGAUAUCGGGAGGAACACCAGUGGCGAAGGCGGCGAUCUGGGCAGAUACUGACGCUGAGGUGCGAAAGCGUGGGGAGCAAACAGG
RNAcentral lists this ribosomal RNA (253 nucleotides) under uncultured bacterium. RNAcentral's name for it is "partial 16S ribosomal RNA". It matches the Rfam family "Bacterial small subunit ribosomal RNA", at positions 524 to 776 of the family's 1533-position model. The record is from RNAcentral.